RNAcentral lists this ribosomal RNA (479 nucleotides) under Salmonella enterica subsp. enterica serovar Blegdam. Its description in RNAcentral is "bacterial LSU rRNA". It matches the Rfam family "Bacterial large subunit ribosomal RNA", at positions 2465 to 2925 of the family's 2925-position model. The record is from RNAcentral. Lineage: Bacteria; Pseudomonadati; Pseudomonadota; Gammaproteobacteria; Enterobacterales; Enterobacteriaceae.
ACUCCGGGGAUAACAGGCUGAUACCGCCCAAGAGUUCAUAUCGACGGCGGUGUUUGGCACCUCGAUGUCGGCUCAUCACAUCCUGGGGCUGAAGUAGGUCCCAAGGGUAUGGCUGUUCGCCAUUUAAAGUGGUACGCGAGCUGGGUUUAGAACGUCGUGAGACAGUUCGGUCCCUAUCUGCCGUGGGCGCUGGAGAACUGAGGGGGGGCUGCUCCUAGUACGAGAGGACCGGAGUGGACGCAUCACUGGUGUUCGGGUUGUCAUGCCAAUGGCACUGCCCGGUAGCUAAAUGCGGAAGAGAUAAGUGCUGAAAGCAUCUAAGCACGAAACUUGCCCCGAGAUGAGUUCUCCCUGAGACUUAGAGUCUCCUGAAGGAACGUUGAAGACGACGACGUUGAUAGGCCGGGUGUGUAAGCGCAGCGAUGCGUUGAGCUAACCGGUACUAAUGAACCGUGAGGCUUAACCUUACAACGCCGAAG